UCUCACCGAUUGUCGUUCGAAGUUUCAGGAGGAUGACACUAGUGAUUUCACUUUUUGCAAAAUGAUAAAACCGUUAACAGAAUGCAUGUAUGAAGCUGCAACAUCUUGUAAAACAGGAUUCGAGCAAUUGGCAGAGAAAGCAUUAUCCAUACAAAAUGAUCUGUGUACAGAAGGAACAUAUUACUACAAUGGUAUU
This is a non-coding RNA of Parasteatoda tepidariorum (common house spider), 196 nucleotides long. NCBI's taxonomy places the organism in Eukaryota, Metazoa, Arthropoda, Arachnida, Araneae, Theridiidae. The record is from RefSeq and is a predicted model, not a curated record.